This 226-nucleotide unclassified non-coding RNA is filed under the name Glomeraceae sp. RNAcentral describes it as "partial contains 5.8S ribosomal RNA and internal transcribed spacer 2". The stretch from base 1 to 71 matches the Rfam family "5.8S ribosomal RNA", at positions 84 to 154 of the family's 154-position model. The record is from RNAcentral. Lineage: Eukaryota; Fungi; Glomeromycota; Glomeromycetes; Glomerales; Glomeraceae.
GUGAAUCAUCGAAUUUUUGAACGCAAAUUGCACUCUCUGGUAUUCCGGAAAGCAUGCCUGUUUGAGGGUCAGUAAAAUUAAAAACGGCGUUGUUGCUACCCGUAGUGGUGUGUGAUGCACCGGAAUUGAGUCGUUCUUUACCUUUGGUUUAUGUGACUUAAAAUUAUGUUAGAUUUUCGAACUUAGUUAAAUCAUUACUUACGUUAGUAAUAUCACAUAUUAGGUG